This 301-nucleotide ribosomal RNA is filed under the name uncultured bacterium. Its description in RNAcentral is "partial 16S ribosomal RNA". It matches the Rfam family "Bacterial small subunit ribosomal RNA", at positions 509 to 809 of the family's 1533-position model. The record is from RNAcentral.
CAGCAGCCACGGUAAUACGUAGGUGGCAAGCGUUGUCCGGAUUUAUUGGGCGUAAAGCGAGCGCAGGCGGUCAAUUAAGUCCGAUGUGAAAGCCCCCGGCUCAACCGGGGAGGAUCAUUGGAAACUGGUUGACUUGAGUGCAGAAGAGGAGAGUGGAAUUCCAUGUGUAGCGGUGAAAUGCGUAGAUAUAUGGAGGAACACCAGUGGCGAAGGCGACUCUCUGGUCUGUAACUGACGCUGAGGCUCGAAAGCGUGGGUAGCAAACAGGAUUAGAUACCCCGGUAGUCCCUGUCUCUUAUAA